UACGUAGGGCGCAAGCGUUAUCCGGAAUUAUUGGGCGUAAAGAGCUCGUAGGCGGUUUGUCGCGUCUGCCGUGAAAGUCCGGGGCUCAACUCCGGAUCUGCGGUGGGUACGGGCAGACUAGAGUGCAGUAGGGGAGACUGGAAUUCCUGGUGUAGCGGUGAAAUGCGCAGAUAUCAGGAGGAACACCGAUGGCGAAGGCAGGUCUCUGGGCUGUAACUGACGCUGAGGAGCGAAAGCAUGGGGAGCAAACAGG
This 253-nucleotide ribosomal RNA is filed under the name uncultured bacterium. Its description in RNAcentral is "partial 16S ribosomal RNA". It matches the Rfam family "Bacterial small subunit ribosomal RNA", at positions 524 to 776 of the family's 1533-position model. The record is from RNAcentral.